UUAAGUUAUUAAGGGCGCACGGUGGAUGCCUUGGCACUAGAAGCCGAUGAAGGACGUUACUAACGACGAUAUGCUUUGGGGAGCUGUAAGUAAGCUUUGAUCCAGAGAUUUCCGAAUGGGGAAACCCAGCAUGAGUUAUGUCAUGUUAUCGAUAUGUGAAUACAUAGCAUAUCAGAAGGCACACCCGGAGAACUGAAACAUCUUAGUACCCGGAGGAAGAGAAAGAAAAUUCGAUUCCCUUAGUAGCGGCGAGCGAAACGGGAAGAGCCCAAACCAACAAGCUUGCUUGUUGGGGUUGUAGGACACUCUAUACGGAGUUACAAAGGACGACAUUAGACGAAUCAUCUGGAAAGAUGAAUCAAAGAAGGUAAUAAUCCUGUAGUCGAAAAUGUUGUCUCUCUUGAGUGGAUCCUGAGUACGACGGAGCACGUGAAAUUCCGUUGGAAUCUGGGAGGACCAUCUCCUAAGGCUAAAUACUCUCUAGUGACCGAUAGUGAACCAGUACCGUGAGGGAAAGGUGAAAAGCACCCCGGAAGGGGAGUGAAAUAGAACCUGAAACCGUGUGCUUACAAGUAGUCAGAGCCCGUUAAUGGGUGAUGGCGUGCCUUUUGUAGAAUGAACCGGCGAGUUACGAUUUGAUGCAAGGUUAAGCAGUAAAUGUGGAGCCGUAGCGAAAGCGAGUCUGAAUAGGGCGUUUAGUAUUUGGUCGUAGACCCGAAACCAGGUGAUCUACCCUUGGUCAGGUUGAAGUUCAGGUAACACUGAAUGGAGGACCGAACCGACUUACGUUGAAAAGUGAGCGGAUGAACUGAGGGUAGCGGAGAAAUUCCAAUCGAACCUGGAGAUAGCUGGUUCUCUCCGAAAUAGCUUUAGGGCUAGCCUCAAGUGAUGAUUAUUGGAGGUAGAGCACUGUUUGGACGAGGGGCCCCUCUCGGGUUACCGAAUUCAGACAAACUCCGAAUGCCAAUUAAUUUAACUUGGGAGUCAGAACAUGGGUGAUAAGGUCCGUGUUCGAAAGGGAAACAGCCCAGACCACCAGCUAAGGUCCCAAAAUAUAUGUUAAGUGGAAAAGGAUGUGGCGUUGCCCAGACAACUAGGAUGUUGGCUUAGAAGCAGCCAUCAUUUAAAGAGUGCGUAAUAGCUCACUAGUCGAGUGACACUGCGCCGAAAAUGUACCGGGGCUAAACAUAUUACCGAAGCUGUGGAUUGUCCUUUGGACAAUGGUAGGAGAGCGUUCUAAGGGCGUUGAAGCAUGAUCGUAAGGACAUGUGGAGCGCUUAGAAGUGAGAAUGCCGGUGUGAGUAGCGAAAGACGGGUGAGAAUCCCGUCCACCGAUUGACUAAGGUUUCCAGAGGAAGGCUCGUCCGCUCUGGGUUAGUCGGGUCCUAAGCUGAGGCCGACAGGCGUAGGCGAUGGAUAACAGGUUGAUAUUCCUGUACCACCUAUAAUCGUUUUAAUCGAUGGGGGGACGCAGUAGGAUAGGCGAAGCGUGCGAUUGGAUUGCACGUCUAAGCAGUAAGGCUGAGUAUUAGGGAAAUCCGGUACUCAUUAAGGCUGAGCUGUGAUGGGGAGAAGACAUUGUGUCUUCGAGUCGUUGAUUUCACACUGCCGAGAAAAGCCUCUAGAUAGAAAAUAGGUGCCCGUACCGCAAACCGACACAGGUAGUCAAGAUGAGAAUUCUAAGGUGAGCGAGCGAACUCUCGUUAAGGAACUCGGCAAAAUGACCCCGUAACUUCGGGAGAAGGGGUGCUCUUUAGGGUUAACGCCCAGAAGAGCCGCAGUGAAUAGGCCCAAGCGACUGUUUAUCAAAAACACAGGUCUCUGCUAAACCGUAAGGUGAUGUAUAGGGGCUGACGCCUGCCCGGUGCUGGAAGGUUAAGAGGAGUGGUUAGCUUCUGCGAAGCUACGAAUCGAAGCCCCAGUAAACGGCGGCCGUAACUAUAACGGUCCUAAGGUAGCGAAAUUCCUUGUCGGGUAAGUUCCGACCCGCACGAAAGGCGUAACGAUUUGGGCACUGUCUCAACGAGAGACUCGGUGAAAUCAUAGUACCUGUGAAGAUGCAGGUUACCCGCGACAGGACGGAAAGACCCCGUGGAGCUUUACUGUAGCCUGA
Molecule: ribosomal RNA, 2113 nt
Filed under: Staphylococcus aureus VET0471R
Lineage: Bacteria; Bacillati; Bacillota; Bacilli; Caryophanales; Staphylococcaceae
Description: bacterial LSU rRNA
Rfam family: Bacterial large subunit ribosomal RNA
Source: RNAcentral